GGGCCCGAUCCUGGUUUCGACGGAAGUUCUGACGUGCGCUUGGGGCAUGCCGAGGCGGUACACCUCGUUAAUCCAGCCAAAGCAAUUUAAUUGCAAACGAUAGCUUCUACGGCGAAAGCCGUCUCGCAGCCUAAUUAAAAACUAGGUUCGAGUGCUGCACCGAUGGGCGUGAACGUCGGGUGGAGUAAUCCACAGCAGUAUCCCUUAGCCACGAGUAGGGCGCGCGGAUGUUUGCGACGCGCGUCCGAAAUUUAGCGAACUGGUUGGCGGCGAGGGUGCUCAUGCUCGCGCAGUCAACAAGAUCAAAUCACUGAGAUAAGCAUGUAGUCCUGACCACCAAUGGCUUUCGGACGCGGGUUCGAACCCCGCCGGGUCCACCA
Molecule: transfer-messenger RNA, 380 nt
Filed under: Burkholderiales bacterium
Lineage: Bacteria; Pseudomonadati; Pseudomonadota; Betaproteobacteria; Burkholderiales
Also listed under: 2 other names
Rfam family: transfer-messenger RNA
About the family: Bacterial tmRNA, also known as 10Sa RNA or SsrA, is named for its dual tRNA and mRNA-like properties. Its role is to liberate the mRNA from a stalled ribosome.
Source: RNAcentral